UAGAACCUUCUACUGGGUCUCUGGAAGCAAGCCUCGCUCAACCAAAAACACAGACUGCCCUUCAUGGUCCCACAUGGAGGUAUCUCAUGACCUGCACUGAGAUUUACAUGUAAUCAGCUCAGGUCCUCUGGGAGCAGCACUGUUCACUCAUGCGAGUUAUCAGGAAAAUGCAAAUUGAAGCUGCUUUGGUAUUCUAUCUCAUCCAAGUCAGAAUGGCUCACAUCAAAACAAAACCAAACGAAAGAGGACAGCAGAUGCUGGCAAAAUGUAAAGGCAGAGACACGCCCAUAAACUGCUGGUGAGAGUGUACACGUGUGCCUCCACUGUGGUAGUCAGCGUGGAGGUUCCUCAAAAGGCUAAAAUUAGAGCUACCACAUUACCCCAGUUACACCACACUUGGGUGUGUGUGUGCAGGUGAUUGCGAGAUGGAAGAGGAAGAGAGGAAGAGGCCUCGAGGAUGCAAGCAGUGAGGGAGAGAAGGAAAAAAAAAUAAAGUAAUAGAGUCCACGGGGAAAGAAAGCAGACGGAGGAAGGCUCAAGGUUUGAGAACACACAGUGGCCUGCAUGGACAAUGUUGAAUUUUGUUUCGAUGUGAUGAAAAAUCCCAGUUGCUGCUCCUCUCCAGGGUGAUGUCAGCGACUUGCUUCCCUAAGACCCAGAUAGGCUCAUCCUGACAGACGCACGUUUAUUCUGAUUAAAACCAGGAAAGAAGCAAGACUUGUGGGCUUAUAAAGCAAGAGGCAGAGAAUGGACUAAUGCAAAGUGAGAUCCUGGAGCAGUGGAGAAUCUUCCUAGAAGAUUCAAGGAAGGCAUCUACUUGACUCUUUGGAAGAAAAAUACAUCUGGUAGCAUCAUGACUUUAGACUUCAGACCAACAGAAUCAUGUAAGACCAGACAUAAGUGCUAGAACCACCCAGCGUGUCUUAUCUGGAACGUGUCUUAUCUUCUAGA
Molecule: long non-coding RNA, 951 nt
Organism: Mastomys coucha (southern multimammate mouse)
Lineage: Eukaryota; Metazoa; Chordata; Mammalia; Rodentia; Muridae
Exons: 3
Source: RefSeq, a predicted model, not a curated record